AUUGAACGCUGGCGGCAUGCCUUACACAUGCAAGUCGAACGGCAGCACGGGUGCUUGCACCUGGUGGCGAGUGGCGAACGGGUGAGUAAUACAUCGGAACAUGUCCUGUAGUGGGGGAUAGCCCGGCGAAAGCCGGAUCAAUACCGCAUACGAUCUACGGAUGAAAGCGGGGGACCUUCGGGCCUCGCGCUAUAGGGUUGGCCGAUGGCUGAUUAGCUAGUUGGUGGGGUAAAGGCCUACCAAGGCGACGAUCAGUAGCUGGUCUGAGAGGACGACCAGCCACACUGGGACUGAGACACGGCCCAGACUCCUACGGGAGGCAGCAGUGGGGAAUUUUGGACAAUGGGCGAAAGCCUGAUCCAGCAAUGCCGCGUGUGUGAAGAAGGCCUUCGGGUUGUAAAGCACUUUUGUCCGGAAAGAAAUCCUUGGCCCUAAUACGGUCGGGGGAUGACGGUACCGGAAGAAUAAGCACCGGCUAACUACGUG
This 486-nucleotide ribosomal RNA is filed under the name uncultured bacterium. RNAcentral describes it as "partial 16S ribosomal RNA". It matches the Rfam family "Bacterial small subunit ribosomal RNA", at positions 30 to 507 of the family's 1533-position model. The record is from RNAcentral.